GUUGAAUAUUGGCAAACCCGUCGAAAGGCGGGGACGCAAAGCCAUGGGUCUACAGCCGACAAGGCCAUGAUCGCCAGGUUGCCGGU
Molecule: non-coding RNA, 86 nt
Filed under: Clostridiales bacterium PH28_bin88
Lineage: Bacteria; Bacillati; Bacillota; Clostridia; Eubacteriales
Also listed under: 1 other name
Description: c-di-GMP-I riboswitch aptamer
Rfam family: c-di-GMP-I riboswitch aptamer
About the family: GEMM was predicted in a large-scale screen for bacterial structured RNA regulatory elements.
Source: Rfam by way of RNAcentral